UACGUAGGGGGCAAGCGUUGUCCGGAAUCAUUGGGCGUAAAGCGCGCGUAGGCGGCCCGGUAAGUCCGCUCUGAAAGUCCAGGGCUCAACCCUGGAAAGCGGGUGGAUACUGCCGGGCUAGAAUCCGGAAGAGGCGAGUGGAAUUCCUGGUGUAGCGGUGGAAUGCGCAGAUAUCAGGAGGAACACCAAUAGCGAAGGCAGCUCGCUGGGACGUUACUGACACUGAGGCGCGAAAGCGUGGGGAGCGAACAGG
This 253-nucleotide ribosomal RNA is filed under the name uncultured bacterium. RNAcentral describes it as "partial 16S ribosomal RNA". It matches the Rfam family "Bacterial small subunit ribosomal RNA", at positions 524 to 776 of the family's 1533-position model. The record is from RNAcentral.